GAUGAACGCUGGCGGCGUGCCUAAUACAUGCCAGUCGAGCGAACGGACGAGAAGCUUGCUUCUCUGAUGUUAGCGGCGGACGGGUGAGUAACACGUGGAUAACCUACCUAUAAGACUGGGAUAACUUCGGGAAACCGGAGCUAAUACCGGAUAAUAUUUUGAACCGCAUGGUUCAAAAGUGAAAGGCGGUCUUGCUGUCACUUAUAGAUGGAUCCGCGCUGCAUUAGCUAGUUGGUAAGGUAACGGCUUACCAAGGCAACGAUGCAUAGCCGACCUGAGAGGGUGAUCGGCCACACUGGAACUGAGACACGGUCCAGACUCCUACGGGAGGCAGCAGUAGGGAAUCUUCCGCAAUGGGCGAAAGACUGACGGAGCAACGCCGCGUGAGUGAUGAAGGUCUUCGGAUCGUAAAACUCUGUUAUUAGGGAAGAACAUAUGUGUAAGUAACUGUGCACAUCUUGACGGUACCUAAUCAGAAAGCCACGGCUAACUACGUG
RNAcentral lists this ribosomal RNA (497 nucleotides) under uncultured bacterium. RNAcentral describes it as "partial 16S ribosomal RNA". It matches the Rfam family "Bacterial small subunit ribosomal RNA", at positions 28 to 507 of the family's 1533-position model. The record is from RNAcentral.